This 505-nucleotide ribosomal RNA is filed under the name Orbilia oligospora. Its description in RNAcentral is "SSU rRNA". It matches the Rfam family "Eukaryotic small subunit ribosomal RNA", at positions 56 to 554 of the family's 1831-position model. The record is from RNAcentral. Lineage: Eukaryota; Fungi; Ascomycota; Orbiliomycetes; Orbiliales; Orbiliaceae.
UGUGUUGGGUUUGCUUAGGUGUCAGCCAGCUAUACAGUGAAACUGCGAAUGGCUCAUUAAAUCAGUUAUCGUUUAUUUGAUAGUACCUUACUACUUGGAUAACCGUGGUAAUUCUAGAGCUAAUACAUGCUAAAAAUCCCGACCUCCGGAAGGGAUGUAUUUAUUAGAUAAAAAACCAAUGCCUUCGGGCUCCUUGGUGAUUCAUGAUAACUUAACGAAUCGCAUGGCCUUGCGCCGGCGAUGGUUCAUUCAAAUUUCUGCCCUAUCAACUUUCGAUGGUAGGAUAGUGGCCUACCAUGGUUUCAACGGGUAACGGGGAAUUAGGGUUCGAUUCCGGAGAGGGAGCCUGAGAAACGGCUACCACAUCCAAGGAAGGCAGCAGGCGCGCAAAUUACCCAAUCCCGAUUCGGGGAGGUAGUGACAAUAAAUACUGAUACAGGGCUCUUUUGGGUCUUGUAAUUGGAAUGAGUACAAUUUAAAUCCCUUAACGAGGAACAAUUGGAGG